RNAcentral lists this ribosomal RNA (468 nucleotides) under uncultured bacterium. RNAcentral describes it as "partial 16S ribosomal RNA". It matches the Rfam family "Bacterial small subunit ribosomal RNA", at positions 28 to 507 of the family's 1533-position model. The record is from RNAcentral.
GACGAACGCUGGCGGCGUGCUUAACACAUGCAAGUCGAACGGAAAGGCCCUGCUUUUGUGGGGUUCUCGAUUGGGGAACGGGUGAGUAACACGUGAGUAACCUGCCCUUGUCUUUGGGAUAACUUUUGGAAACUGGGGCUAAUACAGGAUAGGAGCUCUUGAUGCAUGGUGGUGGUUGGAGAGUUGCGGCGGUUGGGGUUGGUCUCGCUGGUUAUGGGCUUGUUUGGGGGGUUGUGGCUUUCCAAGGCUUUGAUGGGUAGCCGGCCUGGGAGGGUGAACGGCCUCAUUGGGACUGAGAGACGGCCCAGACUGCUACGUGCGGCAGCGGUCGGAAAUAUUGCACAAUGGGCGGAAGCCUGAUGCAGCAACGCCGCGUGCGGGAUGACGGCUUUCGGGGUGUAAACCACUUUCGCCUGUGACGAAGCGUGCGUGACGGUAAUGGGUAAAGAAGCACCGGCUAACUACGUG